UUCUGGUUAGCUCCGUUGGUAGAGCACUCCAUUGGAAAUGAAGAGGUCCCUAGUUCGAUACCAAGACCAGGUG
RNAcentral lists this transfer RNA (73 nucleotides) under Ixodes scapularis (black-legged tick). It matches the Rfam family "tRNA". Rfam says of the family: Transfer RNA (tRNA) molecules are approximately 80 nucleotides in length. Their secondary structure includes four short double-helical elements and three loops (D, anti-codon, and T loops). Lineage: Eukaryota; Metazoa; Arthropoda; Arachnida; Ixodida; Ixodidae. The record is from Rfam by way of RNAcentral.